AAUGAACGGAGCGUUCAUAUAAACUCCGACCCGAGUCGUAAAACGUGUAUUGAUAUAAUUAUAUUGUUGAGCCUUAAGGGCCAACGAAAUAGAGGGCAAUUACCCUCUCAACAUAAUCUUCGGUAGAAGACUCAGUUGCCAACCGCAACCACCGUCCCCCGCUACAAGAGCGGGCCACGGGAACCCGAUCGCUGCCGCCGGAGCCAACGCAACGCAUACCGCAGCUCGGACCAAAAACGACAUAAAGUUAAUUGGCGCCCAACGGGAUUUAGGAUCCACGUCCCCAAGAAAAAUAACAUGUAAGUGACUGUUCGGAAAANAUACAUGGCGGAAAAAGACCGUGAAAAAACUUCGUUUUCAAUUAACGGAGGGAAAUACGAGUUUUGCCGGUUACCCUUUGGACUAAAGAAUGCUGGGAGCAUUUUCCAAAGGGCAAUCGACGAUGUUCUACGAGAACAAAUUGGGAAAAUAUGUUAUGUCUAUGUAGAUGAUGUAAUAAUUUUUUCCGAAAACGAAAAUGAUCACGUUAAACACAUCGACACAGUGCUAAAACGCCUCUGCGAUGCAAACAUGAGAGUGGCCCCAGAAAAGACAAAGUUCUUUAAAGAAAGCGUAGAGUUCUUAGGCUUCAUAGUUACCAGGGGAGGAGCCAAGACCGACCCAGAAAAAGUAAGGGCAAUAAGGGAAUACACUGAACCCAAAACACUGUUCAGCCUCAGGUCCUUCCUCGGGCUGGCCAGCUAUUACAGGAGCUUUGUCAGAGAUUUCGCGACAAUAGCGAGACCCUUAACCGCAUUACUCAAAGGAGAAAAUGGCACAGUCAGCAAACACAUGUCCAAGAAAGUUGCGAUUCAGUUCGGUGAAACGCAACGCAACGCAUUCGACCGUCUGCGAAACAUUUUGGCGUCAGAAGACGUCAUCCUUACGUACCCUGAUUUCAAACUACCCUUUGAUCUAACUACCGAUGCCUCAGCAAGCGGCAUUGGGGCGGUCCUGUCCCAAAACGGCAGGCCAAUCACAAUGAUCUCGCAAACACUAAAAGAUUGUGAAGUAAACUACGCCACAAACGAAAGGGAAUUGUUGGCUAUUGUAUGGGCUAUAGGGAAGUUACAAAAUUACUUAUACGGUACCAAGGAAGUAAGAAUCUUUACCGAUCACCAGCCCUUAACAUUUGCUGUGUCCGAUAGGAACACAAAUGCCAAAAUCAAAGGGUGGAAAGCCUUUAUAGAGGAACAUAACGCUAAGGUGUUCUACAAACCGGGUAAGGAAAACUUCGUGGCCGACGCCUUGUCCAGACAAAACAUUAAUAACCUACACGAAGAGCCUCAGUCCGAUGCUGCCACGGUGCACAGCGAGCGCUCUCUGUCUUACACAGUGGAAACCACGGAUAAGCCCCUCAACUGUUUCAGAAACCAAAUAAUUAUAGAAGAAGCUAGCCAGCCUCUACGGC
Molecule: long non-coding RNA, 1450 nt
Filed under: Drosophila guanche
Lineage: Eukaryota; Metazoa; Arthropoda; Insecta; Diptera; Drosophilidae
Source: RNAcentral